GGCAAGAUAAACAGAGACCCAGAGAAAAUAGGUGAAAACACUUUAGAAGAGUAAUAGAGAGGAGAUUGAACUAGAUUUCUGAUGGACAUAUGGCCAAAAUAACUAUUUAAAUAACUAAGGAUUAGCAGAAAAGGAGAAGACCAAGAGCACAGGAAAAAUAACCAACAGACGUCAAAAAGAAAGGAAGUCUGCCUCUUCUACUUCUCUUUUAAAGUUGCUUUGGUUUCCUUUUGUCCUCUUUCUAAGCCUGUUCAAGUCUGAGAUAGAUGAAAAGAGCAGCCAAAGAAACAGAUCUGUUGAAGCAUCAAUUGGAAAGGAUGGGAGGGUUGGAGGAGGAGCACAGCUGGAUGACUACAUUAGAUUGUGGCAUAUGAGGUCUGUUGAAGCAUCAAUAGGAAAGGAUGAAAGGGAGGGAGGCAGGCAGGAAGAGGAAAACACAGAAGAGCAGAUGAGGAGCACUCUAUGUUCUGCUUUCAUGAGCUGCUGGAGGACAUCAUGGAGGAAGAGGGAGAGGGUCUAUGAUAGGCAGUUUGCCAUGGCCCUAAAUGGGCCUUUGAAUGUUAAUUCUUCAUGCUUCAUAUCAUACAACUUUACAAUAAAAA
This is a long non-coding RNA of Oncorhynchus kisutch (coho salmon), 602 nucleotides long. RefSeq lists it as uncharacterized. The transcript is spliced from 3 exons. Lineage: Eukaryota; Metazoa; Chordata; Actinopteri; Salmoniformes; Salmonidae. The record is from RefSeq and is a predicted model, not a curated record.